RNAcentral lists this ribosomal RNA (497 nucleotides) under uncultured bacterium. RNAcentral describes it as "partial 16S ribosomal RNA". It matches the Rfam family "Bacterial small subunit ribosomal RNA", at positions 28 to 523 of the family's 1533-position model. The record is from RNAcentral.
GACGAACGCUGGCGGCGUGCUUAACGCAUGCAAGUCGAACGGAGCACCCUUGACUGAGGUUUCGGCCAAAUGAUAGGAAUGCUUAGUGGCGGACUGGUGAGUAACGCGUGAGGAACCUGCCUUUCAGAGGGGGACAACAGUUGGAAACGACUGCUAAUACCGCAUGACGCAUUUUGAUCGCGUGGUCGAAAUGCUAAAGAUUUAUCGCUGAAAGAUGGCCUCGCGUCUGAUUAGCUAGUUGGUGAGGUAACGGCCCACCAAGGCGACGAUCAGUAGCCGGACUGAGAGGUUGACCGGCCACAUUGGGACUGAGAUACGGCCCAGACUCCUACGGGAGGCAGCAGUGGGGAAUAUUGGGCAAUGGGCGCAAGCCUGACCCAGCAACGCCGCGUGAAGGAAGAAGGCUUUCGGGUUGUAAACUUCUUUUAAGUGGGAAGAGCAGAAGACGGUACCACUUGAAUAAGCCACGGCUAACUACGUGCCAGCAGCCGCCGCGG